UUCAGUUAGCAAUGUAUAAUA
This is a non-coding RNA of Caenorhabditis elegans, 21 nucleotides long. The record is from Ensembl. NCBI's taxonomy places the organism in Eukaryota, Metazoa, Nematoda, Chromadorea, Rhabditida, Rhabditidae.